GGGAAUCGGUUCCCUUUGGUCGGAUCUACCAAGAAUCAAAUCAGAAUCAAAUGAGGAGACUCUAUACAUCCUGUGGAAGCUGUAGGUACUGCAAGCUCGGCCUCAUUUAAUACGGUUCACCUUUAACAAUGGGUUGAAGUGGCGCAUGGAUAUUUUUUCCCAUCUCCAGUGAUCAGAUUUUCCUGCGCUUUUCGAUGCAACAGACGUUCUGUUAUAGUCACAGCCGUGAUUUAAACAGUUUUGGAAACGUCUGAGUGUUUUCUAUCCACACAUACUAAUCAUAUGCAUAUACUAUAUUCCUGGCCUGAGUAGCAGGAUGCCAAAAUGUUGCGCGAUUUUUAACAGAAUUUCCGAAAAAGUAGGGGGGAGGCUUAACAGGUUUUAAGUUGUCUUGCUUUUCUCAGAGCAGCACAAAACGGUGCUGAAAUAGUUGACCAUACACAGGUAGGCUUUUGCUUCAAAUCCUAUUGUAACAAUUGGAUGACAUUGGGAGUUUCAGUAAGCAACAAUUUGUUGCCUUCAUUAGCCUACUCUAUUCUUAAAAUAACUCCAGCACAUAAAAGAGAAAGGAGCCUUAAUUAAUUAAACAAUAAAGUGAUUUAAUUCAAAAAUGCAUUUGACUGUACUUAAUAUUGGCCAUCAACCAGAAACACACCGUGGUAGAAACAUGUUAUUGAUUAUUAUUUUAUUUUUACUAUUUCAAAAUGCACACAUUUAGUAAGCUACUGUGCAGUCUGACAGGUAAACGUAGCCCACAGUACAUAGUAAACAUAGCCCACAGUACAUAGUAAACAAUGCAAAGAUGCUUCAUUCCUUACAUAAGGGAGAGCAGGCCAUGUCAAGACUUUCUCAGUGACCUCAAGUACUCAUUAACUCUGUCUUGAAUGUUUUUUUCGGGAUGCAUCUGUAUUGGUCACAGACGUUGAAAUUUUGUGCGAUUUUUAACAAAAAGCUGCAAAAAUUCGCAGCCUCCUUAAUUAACAGGUUUUAAUGAUGAACACCUGGAGGUUCACUGGUCAUCCACAUUUGCCUCGGGAUCCAUCCCAGUUGGGGCGGCAUGUAGUCUAGUGGUUAGAGUGUUGGGCCAGUAACCGGAAGGUUGUUGAAUCAAAUCCCUGAGCUGACAAGGUAAAAAUCUGUUGUUCUGUCCCUGAACAAGGCAGUUAACCCACUGUUCCUAGGACAUCAUUGGAAAUAAGAAUUUGUUCUUAAAUGACUUGUCUAGUUAAAAAAAUACAAGUAUCUGUCUCUACAAAUAAUGAGUGAUACUGAUUCACGUGCACCUUCAUCAGAUGAGCAGUAUGGUACUGCUCUGCGUCCCCAUCGAUUGUUGUGUCCUAUGAUAGAAAUGGUAGAUCAAUUAAGAAUUAAAAGUGACUCCAACACACAAAUUCUGCAUAAUGAAACAUGUUUUAAGAAUGUAGCAAAACCAACCGCUUUCAUGGGAACCAUGUGUUUUAUGGGUGUGGCCCGUUGUCCAGUCCUUUGUCCACCGAUCUCCACGGAUGGUUGUCUGCAUGGUCGUAUGCUCUGCAAGAACACAUUCAUGUUUUUAGUACACAAGUAUCGAUUGUAUUACAUAGUAUGCCUACACAUAUAUAUGUUAAGAAUAUAAUUAAACAUUUUCAUUUCUCUUAGAAUAAAAACCUAAUCUAACUGCAGUUUCAGUAAGUAAUAUGCUACUGUCCAGUUACAGCUUCGUCUGACCAAGUGGAAACAAAAAAAUAGGUGUCUUUUUCGGAAGUGUGUGCAGGACAGAGAAAUAGCAAUACCGACAUUAUUGUUUUACAUUCAAUCACCUUCUUCAUCCUCAUCAUUCAGUUCAUUGAAAUCCAAUUUUGAAUGCACAAUUAUCAGUUCAUAUUUGGUUUAUACCACCCAUUCAUUGACAGCAUUAAUUCAGGUAGAGACACAUUAGACCUUGGGACCCAAAAGCAUAAUCAGUGCUCUGACUCCCCCUUGUGGUGGUCUGGAGCAAUGAUGCAGUAACGCAGGGUAACAUACUAAACCACAAAUGACCUCUAAAUCCUGUGGCAUAACCUCAAAACGUUUAAUAGAGGAACUACAGUCACACAGACACAGGACAGUCUAGGGAGAAGACACAGCUACAAGAUGUAUAUUAGAGUUGAGGUUAGAAGAAUACGUUACUGUAGUUGACCACACUCACAUACGCACACACACAUUAAAUAGGUGAGAGUAACCUGUAGUAUCAUACCGUUAUUUGUCCCAAUCCUGGAUGAUACAGUAAAACACAUUAACAAAGAUCUUUAAUCAUUUGUGAUUCAGUACAUGUUCAGUGGUGGAAGAGACCCUCUGGAGUUGCUGCAGUGUGUCUGGGGCUGCUGUGUGUUCUCCUACUGGCUGGGAUCAUAGGCCUGUCUGUCUACUAUGGAGUCAUUGAUCAUUACGACUCAACCGAGAGAGACCAGCUACAGACCAGUUACAACACCCUGACUGAAGAGAGAGACCAGCUACAGGACAGCAACAGCCUUCUGACUAAAGAGAGAGACCAGCUACAGGACAGCACCAGCCUUCUGACUAAAGAGAGAGACCAGCUACAGACCAGUUACAACAACCUGAUUAAAGUUAGAGACCAGCUACAGACAGAGAGAUUUUCUUAGUGGGAGGCUUACCAAUCUCAACAUUUCUCUUCAACCUCAAGAAGAGAGUCUGGAUUGGUCUGACUGACUCUGUUAUUGAGGGGACCUGGAAAUGGGUGGACGGCACCCCACUGACCACAUGGUACUGGUAUUAACCAUGAUAUUGGUCCACUCACACAGACAGCAUCGUGAGGAAGGCGCAGCAGCGCCUCUUCAACCUCAGGAGGCUGAAGAAAUUCGGCUUGUCACCAAAAGCACUCACAAACUUCUACAGAUGCACAAUCGAGAGCAUCCUGGCGGGCUGUAUCACUGCCUGGUAUGGCAACUGCACCGCCCUCAACCGUAAGGCUCUCCAGAGGGUAGUGAGGUCUGCACAACGCAUCACCGGGGGCAAACUACCUGCCCUCCAGGACACCUACACCACCCGAUGUUACAGGAAGGCCAUAAAGAUCAUCAAGGACAACAACCACCCGAGCCACUGCCUGUUCACCCCGCUGUCAUCCAGAAGGCGAGGUCAGUACAGGUGCAUCAAAGCUGGGACCGAGAGACUGAAAAACAGCUUCUAUCUCAAGGCCAUCAGACUGUUAAACAGCCACCACUAACAUUGAGUGGCUACUGCCAACACACUGUCAAUGACACUGACUCUACUCCAGCCACUUUAAUCAUGGGAAUUGAUGGGAAAUUAUGUAAAUAUAUCACUAGCCACUUUAAACAAUGCUACCUUAUAUAAUGUUACUUACCCUACAUUAUUCAUCUCAUAUGCAUACGCAGAUACUGUACUCUAUAUCAUCGACUGCAUCCUUAUGUAAUACAUGUAUCACUAGCCACUUUAACUAUGCCACUUGGUUUACAUACUCAUCUCAUAUGUAUAUACUGUACUCGAUAUCAUCUACUGUAUCUUGCCUAUGCUGCUCUGUACCAUCACUCAUUCAUAUAUCCUUAUGUACAUAUUCUUUAUCCCCUUACACUGUGUAUAAGACAGUAGUUUUUUUGGAAUUGUUAGUUAGAUUACUUGUUCGUUAUUACUGCAUUGUCGGAACUAGAAGCACAAGCAUUUCGCUACACAUCUCGCAUUAACAUCUGCUAACCAUGUGUAUGUGACAAAUAAAAUUUGAUUUGAUUUGAUUUGAAGUACGCUCACUAGUAUGCCAACUUGUUCUAUUUUUGUAUUAGCAUAGCCACAACUACCCGUGUCAUUUUGUUGAUAAUUCCCUAGAGUUAACGCCGACAGCAAUCACACAGACAGAGACAAACAGAUGAUUCAGAGAUAUCAUAAGAAGCAGAGACUUAACGUAUAGAGGGCUUGCAGUUGAUGUACGACGCCUCCUGGUGGCCAUGUUGGAAUACCACCACAUUAAUUAUAGAAGCA
Long non-coding RNA from Oncorhynchus tshawytscha (Chinook salmon), 3969 nucleotides. NCBI's taxonomy places the organism in Eukaryota, Metazoa, Chordata, Actinopteri, Salmoniformes, Salmonidae. The record is from Ensembl.